RNAcentral lists this long non-coding RNA (1177 nucleotides) under Monodelphis domestica (gray short-tailed opossum). RNAcentral's name for it is "lncRNA (ENSMODG00000037898.1)". Lineage: Eukaryota; Metazoa; Chordata; Mammalia; Didelphimorphia; Didelphidae. The record is from RNAcentral.
AUGGACAGCAGCUGUGACAACUCCUUAUCUCCACUACAGAGCAUGUCCCAUAUGCCCGGGUGUUCUCAGGGCACUGGAUUCAGCACCGGGAGAGGCACAGGCUGUAAACGGAAUGAUUCCCCACGUGGUACCAUCUUGUCCAGUGUAAAGAGAGCUAGAGAAAGUAAAAGGGUCCAAGCUUGAGCCUUGACUCCGAUUCUUCCUAUGCGUGACACUUUGGAGAAGUCACUUCACUUCUCUGGGGAUUCGGUUUCCUUAUUUAUAAAAUGAAAGACUUAGAAAGAGGCGGCAAAGAUAGAGCGGAUAGUGCUGGAUUUAGAGGGAGGACCAGCUCAGUUUAAAUUCUGCCUUAAACCCUUGCCCACUGUGAGAUCCUGAGCUAGUCCCUUACCUUCUACGUGCUUCAAUGUCCUUAUCGCACAAUGGAGGCGUAGGCUGGACUCAAUGGCCUCUGAGGUCCCUUCCGGCUCAAAUCCCUGCCCCGACGAAGCUGAUGCCUCCUAAGGUCUUUUCUCCUUCAAAACUGUCUUAUACAAUUAUGCAGACAGCGCAGCUUCGACUCUGGUCCCGGAGUUAAGGUUUGAAGGGGCACACACCAAAGGAACGUGGCAGAGAGAGGGCGACCGGCAGACACCGUGCAAUGGCGUUUUCACAUUCAGGGAUUACACCAGGCUGAAACGGGAACAAAGGCAUGGAGCUGAUACCUGGAUCUAUCCAUGAAUUUAUUUAUUAUUAGGUUAUAUGAAAAAGCAUAUAGAAUUGUCAUUAUUGUUUCAAGCAAUCUGAUGAUAUUGAAGAGACAUUAAGAAAGGAACUUCAAGAAAAGAAGAAAACAAAACAACAUUCAGCCUAAUACAAUACCAAAGGAGUUCAUUAAAGUGUGGGCACACACUCUUGCUUACGCACUCACGUAGGCACACACGCGUGCACACACACACACACACACACAUUCUGUGCAGGAGGAGAGAUUCCACCUUCAAGAAUGAGCUCCUGAAUUAUAAUUCAUUGAUUCUGAAGCCAAUCAUUUGGUAUUUUGACUGCUAGCUUAGGAAUAUUCAUAUUUUCAACUGCAUUUAAAUUUCCCCCUGCCAUUAAAAUCUCUGAGCUCUAUAAUUAGGCUUCUCCUGAUAAAUACGGAUGUACUUUCUGUACAUUAGGAGCAUAGGAGCUCCUCUCG